AGUGAACGCUGGCGGUAGGCCUAACACAUGCAAGUCGAACGGCAGCACAGUAAGAGCUUGCUCUUACGGGUGGCGAGUGGCGGACGGGUGAGGAAUACAUCGGAAUCUACUUUUUCGUGGGGGCUCACGUAGGGAAACUUACGCUAAUACCGCAUACGACCUACGGGUGAAAGCAUGGGAUCUUCGGACCUUGCGCGAUUGAAUGAGCCGAUGUCGGAUUAGCUAGUUGGCGGGGUAAAGGCCCACCAAGGCGACGAUCCGUAGCUGGUCUGAGAGAAUGGUCAGCCACACUGGAACUGAGACACGGUCCAGACUCCUACGAGAGGCAGCAGUGGGGAAUAUUGGACAAUGGGCGCAAGCCUGAUCCAGCCAUACCGCGUGGGUGAAGAAGGCCUUCGGGUUGUAAAGCCCUUUUGUUGGGAAAGAAAAGCAGCAGGUUAAUACCCCGCUGUUCUGACGGUACCCAAAGAAUAAGCACCGGCUAACUUCGUG
This 492-nucleotide ribosomal RNA is filed under the name uncultured bacterium. RNAcentral describes it as "partial 16S ribosomal RNA". It matches the Rfam family "Bacterial small subunit ribosomal RNA", at positions 29 to 507 of the family's 1533-position model. The record is from RNAcentral.